GUUUGAUCCUGGCUCAGAUUGAACCGCUGGCGGCAUGCUUUACACAUGCAAGUCGAACGGUAACAGGCUGCUUGCAGCGCUGACGAGUGGCGAACGGGUGAGUAAUAUAUCGGAACGUACCUAGUAAUGGGGGAUAACUAUCCGAAAGGAUAGCUAAUACCGCAUACGCCCUGAGGGGGAAAGAGGGGGAUCGCAAGACCUCUCGUUAUUAGAGCAGCCGAUAUCAGAUUAGCUAGUUGGUGAGGUAAAGGCUCACCAAGGCAACGAUCUGUAGCGGGUCUUAGAGGACGAUCCGCCACACUGGAACUGAGACACGGUCCAGACUCCUACGGGAGGCAGCAGUGGGGAAUCUUGGACAAUGGGCGCAAGCCUGAUCCAGCAAUGCCGCGUGCGUGAAGAAGGCCUUCGGGUUGUAAAGCGCUUUUGUUCGGGAGGAAAUCCUAGUGGCUAAUAUCCACUGGGGAUGACAGCACCGGAAGAAUAAGGACCGGCUAACUACGUGCCAGCAGCCGCGGUAAUACGUAGGGUCCAAGCGUUAAUCGGAAUUACUGGGCGUAAAGGGUGCGCAGGUGGUUGAUUAAGUGUGAUGUGAAAGCCCCGGGCUCAACCUGGGAAUUGCAUUGCAAACUGGUCAACUAGAGUAUGGCAGAGGGGGGUGGAAUUCCGCGUGUAGCAGUGAAAUGCGUAGAGAUGCGGAGGAACACCGAUGGCGAAGGCAACCCCCUGGGCUAAUACUGACACUCAUGCACGAAAGCGUGGGGAGCAAACAGGAUUAGAUACCCUGGUAGUCCACGCCCUAAACGAUGUCUACUAGUUGUUGGGGGAUUCGUCCCUUAGUAACGCAGCUAACGCGUGAAGUAGACCGCCUGGGGAGUACGGCCGCAAGGCUAAAACUCAAAGGAAUUGACG
This 909-nucleotide ribosomal RNA is filed under the name uncultured bacterium. RNAcentral's name for it is "bacterial SSU rRNA". It matches the Rfam family "Bacterial small subunit ribosomal RNA", at positions 11 to 915 of the family's 1533-position model. The record is from RNAcentral.